This 236-nucleotide unclassified non-coding RNA is filed under the name uncultured fungus. RNAcentral describes it as "sequence contains ITS2". Lineage: Eukaryota; Fungi. RNAcentral also lists the same sequence under 1 other name. The record is from RNAcentral.
AACACCUCAAGAUCUCUAUUGAGAUUUUGGAUUUGAAUGAACCCAAUCUUGAAUAAAGAGUCGGGUCAUUUGAAAUGCAGGUGCGGCUGAAACUUUCUUUCUGAGCUAAAAGCAUUAUUCAUUUAGUCCUUUUCAAUAAGGAUUAUUACUUUUUUGCUGCAGCUAAUAUAAAGGAUUGAAAGGAGAGCUGACUGAUGCAGGAAUUUCACAGAGAGUUUCUUAAACUCUUUUGUUAA